UGUAAUAUUGUAAUUAUAAGAAAAGAAAAAAAAAAAAGUUGAACUUUGAGUGUUCGAUUUAAAUAUUCGAAAAUUCAUUAUAAUUCAGUACAAUUCAAAUCGAGAACGAGAGAGAACGGAAAUGUUUAAACGAAAGAAUUAAGGAGAAAAUCAAAGAUCCGGGAAUAUGGUCUAUUUUAUUACGCGAUUAUUACAAAAGAUCGUUUGCUCGUUGAUAUUUUCGUCCUUCGAUUCGACUGCACUGCGUGACCUAUAAAUUUUCUCGACCUAUUUCGACCAUAAGCAUUUGACGGUCACCCCUUAGAUGGCACUGCGAGACACGGCCAUCGUUGUACGUAAACUUCGCGCCGAUUCAGGGAGGAUCAAGGACUGACCUAAAUCGGAAAGGCAGGUAUCAUCAUCUCUUUUCUCCUUCCAAAACAUAUUUGGUCGAACAAGGUCGUUUAAUGUUACUCAUAACACCGAAACUCAUAACAAUUAUUAUCUUUUUUCUAGAGUUGAGAAGAUCGUCAUUGGCACGUAGUAGUUCCGUAUUCUUUCGAUCCAUCGAACUGUUGUUGUCACUGCGCCAAAUAACUGUGCAAUAACUUUUUAGCUGACGAUCGUGUAUCCGUGCGGACGACGCGUAUCGCACGUGUCACAAGUCGAGAAGAGGAAACGCGUGGUAACAGGAGACGUGGUGUAAGUAACAUUUCGAAAUUUCUCGUUUGAUCGUAAACCUCGUUGACAAAUGAAAGAAAAAGCAACAACAACAAGUGUUGUUGUGCGUAAAUCGAAUAGAUACGUGAUCUUUUGAUAUAAAUACAUCGAUAACAAUAAGAAUAAUACGGAUCUUGAGUACGAUUUUAAAAAUUUCAAUCUUUGAAAAACGUUUCGUCAUUCCUAUUUCCUGAAAUUUCGUAUUAUUCAUAUACGUUUACGUAUACGAAUAGAAGUAACAUAGUUGUCUCCUAUCUUUAGAUGCCCGAAAUAAACUCUCUAUACAUUCGCUAUCUUGGUUGAUUCUCGACUCUUCAAGUUGAUUAGUCAUCGAGACUUCGCCCAGUUUUUUUCUUUCACUUUUUCUCCCUAGGCAACGUUGCGAAUUAUACUUUCACUUUGAAAAUGCUCCGUUAAUAAUAACUUCGUUAUCGCGAUCAACAAUAACGGCGAUAUUAAGGCGGUUCUAAUCGAUGGAUAAAUUGAAAAACAAUUCGAGAAGAUUAAGCGAAAGGUAUAUACAUGAGUAUAUGCGAGAGAUUUAACGGUUUGGUGGUGAAACGAGAAUUGCAUAUUGAUUCGGAUAGUAACAGUUUCACAGAGAAGGCAUAUACAUUACGGUCAAGUAUCGGGCUCGUACGAUGCCCAUCUCUCGCCGUGGCGAGGUGAAAGGAUUAAAUGGGCCAAAAUCAGAAGGAAGGAAGGGAUCCUCGAUUGUAGAAAAUGACACGGGCAACGCACAGAUACACGUACACCGAGAAGACCCAUUUAUCGGCGUUCGCCGUGGAUGACCUGUUUGCGCGACACGCCGCUUUUCCCUGGAGAGAAAAAUCCGGCCCGUUCAUCUGAGGCGGAAUGGGACUGGGUGAAAGUCGUUCAGGUGAUUCGAGGGAUGCCGGCCAAAGAUAGACGCGAGACAAUGCUCGAUGGCGUUUUAUGUAACAUGGCAACACACGCUACUCCUCGACUUCAUUGGGUCGAUCGUAAAACCCCUGAGAAAGAAAUACGGUUUGUGAUAAACCGUAAGUUAUAAUUUCCGUUCGGAAAAUAAUAAUGAUAAUGUGGAAAGCGUGCGUAAUUACGAUUAGAAUUUAACUCGUUGAACGAUGAAAUAUAUUAAACUUCAUUGAUUAAGAGGAGUUGCAAGAAAUUUAAAAUUGCGUUUGAGGUUGAAACAGUCUUGCAAUCGUAAAAUGUCGAGUCAGAAGACAAUUGUCGAUUUAAAUGAUCGGCAAGAUUUUUGUAGUAGACAGCGAGAAAUGUCGAUUAACAAUACUAUGUGUGUCGCAUUAUCGCGAUAACCACCUAGCAACAAAGAACACCGUAUUACCAUGAUAAUAAUAUGUGACGACACUGUUUACAAUCGAGUCGCAUUACGAUUACAAAGCGUGAGUUAGAAUCUCGUGGAACAGGAUUCGAGACACCCACGUAGAUGCUGAUCACGUGUACGGAACGAUACGAUUCGCAAAUAACGGUGUUGUGCUCGUUGCGACCAGUUAUAUUGCUGUGGGAAGAUAGGUAACGUACGCGUUACGUGAAUAAGUGUUCGUAAAUUCAUAACGAAGCAGAGAGUGGUUUAGAAAGCGGACACGGAUUGUACAAAAAACCAUAUAACUGUACGAUUGCUCAAUGUUGGUUGAAAGUCGCUGCUUGACUUAUACGUGAAAACAUUCAUCGCAACGAGCUAGGAAAGACGAACAAAUUUACGGUAAUAACCAUUGCAAUGCCCGUUAUUAGAGAAAUCAAAGGAUUAAUCGCGACGAACUCAUCAUCCGCGUUGCUGCUUUUUUGGUCAAGGUAAUCGUAAUGCUUCGCGUGUUACCAUGUAAAUUUAAUACUACUAAUGAAUGGUUAAGUUUAUGCUAUUGUUAAGAUUGGCGGGAAAGAAAUUAUGGUAAAAAUAACAUUCUUAAGAAAAUAAAAAUCAUUAAAAGAAAAGAAAUAAUAAUAACGAAAUAGUUAUAAAUUUAACAAAACAAAGUAUAUAUAAUUGCAAAUUUUUAAUCGUGUUUAAUAAUUGGAAUAAAAUAAGCUUCUUUGAUGAAAAAAAAAAUUUGAACCUCUUGAACGCAAAAGCAAAAACAUAACCAACAAAACGAAAAGUAUGUAUCCUAUUGUAAUGUUUACAUAGAAAAAAGAUAAAAAUAAAAGAAUUUUUUAACUUGGUC
Molecule: long non-coding RNA, 2867 nt
Organism: Apis laboriosa (Himalayan honeybee)
Lineage: Eukaryota; Metazoa; Arthropoda; Insecta; Hymenoptera; Apidae
Exons: 2
Source: RefSeq, a predicted model, not a curated record